UAAGGCUGAUGGCGACCGGCGCACGGGUGAGUAACACGUAUCCAACCUGCCGUCUACUCUUGGCCAGCCUUCUGAAAGGAAGAUUAAUCCAGGAUGGCAUCAUGAGUUCACAUGUCCGCAUGAUUAAAGGUAUUUUCCGGUAGACGAUGGGGAUGCGUUCCAUUAGAUAGUAGGCGGGGUAACGGCCCACCUAGUCAACGAUGGAUAGGGGUUCUGAGAGGAAGGUCCCCCACAUUGGAACUGAGACACGGUCCAAACUCCUACGGGAGGCAGCAGUGAGGAAUAUUGGUCAAUGGGCGAUGGCCUGAACCAGCCAAGUAGCGUGAAGGAUGACUGCCCUAUGGGUUGUAAACUUCUUUUAUAAAGGAAUAAAGUCGGGUAUGCAUACCCGUUUGCAUGUACUUUAUGAAUAAGGAUCGGCUAACUCCGUGCCAGCAGCCGCGGUAAUACGGAGGAUCCGAGCGUUAUCCGGAUUUAUUGGGUUUAAAGGGAGCGUAGAUGGAUGUUUAAGUCAGUUGUGAAAGUUUGCGGCUCAACCGUAAAAUUGCAGUUGAUACUGGAUGUCUUGAGUGCAGUUGAGGCAGGCGGAAUUCGUGGUGUAGCGGUGAAAUGCUUAGAUAUCACGAAGAACUCCGAUUGCGAAGGCAGCCUGCUAAGCUGCAACUGACAUUGAGGCUCGAAAGUGUGGGUAUCA
Molecule: ribosomal RNA, 694 nt
Filed under: uncultured Bacteroidales bacterium
Lineage: Bacteria; Pseudomonadati; Bacteroidota; Bacteroidia; Bacteroidales
Description: bacterial SSU rRNA
Rfam family: Bacterial small subunit ribosomal RNA
Source: RNAcentral